RNAcentral lists this ribosomal RNA (253 nucleotides) under uncultured bacterium. Its description in RNAcentral is "partial 16S ribosomal RNA". It matches the Rfam family "Bacterial small subunit ribosomal RNA", at positions 524 to 776 of the family's 1533-position model. The record is from RNAcentral.
UACGGAGGGUGCGAGCGUUGUCCGGAAUCACUGGGCGUAAAGGGCGCGUAGGCGGCCUCUUAAGGGUGAGGUGAAAGUCCGGGGCUCAACCCCGGAUCGGCCGUGCCGACUGAGAGGCUGGAGCACUGUAGAGGCGAGUGGAAUUCCGGGUGUAGCGGUGGAAUGCGUAGAGAUCCGGAAGAACACCGGUGGCGAAGGCGGCUCGCUGGGCAGUGGCUGACGCUGAGGCGCGACAGCGUGGGGAGCAAACAGG